CGUCAAGCAGACUAGUGUUGCUUUUGGCUGGAGGUCCACGAAUCUCGCUGGAAGUGUGAUCGAGUGAUAAAAAGAAGAGUGCGCGUUCAAGAAGUCUGACCGAUAGCGUGAUAAGCCCCUGAGGGCAUGUGCUUGAGCUGCGGUACUGUGUAAGAACAGCCGUCUCGCCACAGUGGGCAGUAAGAGCUGAGUCGAACAUUGUGGAAAAACGAACUACGAGCGGAUGAGGAAACUACUAACUGUUUUACGGAGGAUUGCAAUGCGGCGUUUUGAGUAGACGCACUGAACACUGAGAUCGGCCUUCUCUUCUAUUCUACUGCUAAAUUUUCCAUCAUGGCUGACCAAGCUGUGGUGUGGUUGUGGAGUGCGAUGGGGACAUCCUGCCGACGGAAGC
Molecule: long non-coding RNA, 394 nt
Organism: Culex quinquefasciatus (southern house mosquito)
Lineage: Eukaryota; Metazoa; Arthropoda; Insecta; Diptera; Culicidae
Exons: 4
Source: RefSeq, a predicted model, not a curated record